RNAcentral lists this ribosomal RNA (451 nucleotides) under uncultured Fibrobacter sp. RNAcentral's name for it is "bacterial SSU rRNA". It matches the Rfam family "Bacterial small subunit ribosomal RNA", at positions 341 to 792 of the family's 1533-position model. The record is from RNAcentral. Lineage: Bacteria; Pseudomonadati; Fibrobacterota; Fibrobacteria; Fibrobacterales; Fibrobacteraceae.
ACGGGAGGCAGCAGUAGGGAGUAUUGCACAAUGGGGGAAACCCUGAUGCAGCAACGCCACGUGUGGGAAGAAGCAUUUCGGUGUGUAAACCACUGUCGUGAAGGAAUAACGCUGGACCUCGGUCCAGUUGAAUGUACUUUGAAAGGAAGCACCGGCAAACUUCGUGCCAGCAGCCGCGGUAAUACGAGGGGUGCAAGCGUUGUUCGGAAUCACUGGGCGUAAAGGGAGCGUAGGCGGAGACGCAAGCAGUCUGUACAAUACCGGGGCCCAACCCCGGACCUGCAGACUGGACUGUGUCUCUUGGAUAGUUCAGGGGCAGGCGGAAUUCCUGGUGUAGCGGUGGAAUGCGUAGAGAUCAGGAAGAACACCGAUGGCGAAGGCAGCCUGCUGGGGACUCAUCGACGCUGAGGCUCGAAAGUGCGGGUAGCGAACAGGAUUAGAUACCCUGGUA